This 433-nucleotide ribosomal RNA is filed under the name uncultured bacterium. RNAcentral describes it as "partial 16S ribosomal RNA". It matches the Rfam family "Bacterial small subunit ribosomal RNA", at positions 29 to 507 of the family's 1533-position model. The record is from RNAcentral.
AACGAACGCUGGCGGCAUGCCUAACACAUGCAAGUCGAACGAGACCUUCGGGUCUAGUGGCGCACGGGUGCGUAACGCGUGGGAACCUGCCCUUAGGUUCGGCAUAACUCCCCGAAAGAGGUGCUAAUACCGGAUAAUGUCUUCGGACCAAAGAUUUAUCGCCUUUGGAUGGGCCCGCGUUGGAUUAGCUAGUUGGUAGGGUAAAAGCCUACCAAGGCGACGAUCCAUAGCUGGUCUGAGAGGAUGAUCAGCCACACUGGGACUGAGACACGGCCCAGACUCCUACGGGAGGCAGCAGUGGGGAAUAUUGGACAAUGGGCGAAAGCCUGAUCCAGCAAUGCCGCGUGAGUGAUGAAGGCCUUAGGGUUGUAAAGCUCUUUUACCCGGGAUGAUAAUGACAGUACCGGGAGAAUAAGCUCCGGCUAACUCCGUG